CCCUGGAGCUGGGGGGCUUAGGGGGGGGGGGCCCAAGAGGAGGCCGGGGGCCCUGGCAGGCAGGAGCAGCCGCAGCCCGGAUAAGAGCAAGGGAGCAUAGAAAAAGAAGCGGACCCAGAAGGAGUGAACCCCAAAUUUUCCAAGUGGACCUGUGACAUCCUCGUGUGACCUCCUGACCUUGUCCAUUUUGGCUGUACCUGGCUUUGUCUGUCUGACAAUCUGCUUUCCUCGUGCGUCGCAGCUGUGCAACAGUGCUUGAAGAACAUGCUUGUCUGCGUUAGUGGCACAUCCCAGUACCUCAUGUUUGUAGUCAUUUUCUCUGGAGCAAUGUGAAGGGAUUUGCUUUUUCCAUCCCUCAUUCUGCAAAAGCUUCAUCGUAGCUGCACCUCUCGUUGUUCCUGCAAAGCUCCGCAAAGUGGCAUGCGGUGCAUUACAAGUUGCAGCACUGUGCAUGUUGCCACUGCCUCUUUGGCUGAGCUGCAACAACAGCUGCUGCUUCCCCAGUGAACUGAGAUCUGCUCAAAACCCCACAAGUCCCGUGCAUUACUUGCUGUUGUUGCAAGAGCCUCCCUACCUGUUCUCACCUCUGUCGUUGCAGCACCCUCUUUCUCCAUGCAGUGUGGCCUUGUUGGUGUGAAGUUUGCACCCAUGCACAGCUGUGCAAAAAGUGAGCAUGACAAUCUAGCCAGUCUGCAUGCCGCAGGGGAGGCCUCCCCAUUGGCCACCAAACCUCCAAAAUUGUCUCACUUUAUGUCUCCUCAUCUGUUCCUCGCGGCUUUGUCACGACAAUUGUGAUGCUUUCCUCCUGUGGUUGUUUGUGCCCUGCGUAACCAAUGAUAGUCAACCUGUGGCUCCAAAAAGGCCAGCAAUCAAAUCUUUUAAAAUUAAAUUAAAUUAAAUUUUGCACCAGUGUGCAUCCUUCUCCGCCUGCCCAGAUCUUUGGGAUUCAAAACAGCAGCAACGUGGAGGAGAGGUCUUGACGGUGCACAGCCACAAGAGAGCGCAUUGUCUCUGCAGCAGUGGAAAAGCAGGCGCAUGCAUUGAAAGGUUUUGUGUGUGUGUGUGAAUAACACUUGGCUCUCCUGGUGUGUAAGAUCAACAGCAGCCAGGAAAGAAAAAUAAGACAGCGGAAAUACACACACACACACACACACACACACACACACACGAGACACUAUAAUCCUGGCGUUCAUCUUCUUUGCUGAAGAAGAGACAUUGGGAGCCCAGCUGUGGAGGACGAGGAGGGAAGCAUGGGGCUGACAGGUGAAGCUGGGGGAAAGAUACUUUUCUGGACUACAACAUUCAGGAUCCUACAGCCAGUGUGGCCACACGGAUGGGCGGAUUCUGUACUUGCUAUUGCUAUUCUGAGUAUUACAGCCCAAACAGGU
Molecule: long non-coding RNA, 1388 nt
Organism: Sceloporus undulatus (fence lizard)
Lineage: Eukaryota; Metazoa; Chordata; Lepidosauria; Squamata; Phrynosomatidae
Exons: 3
Source: RefSeq, a predicted model, not a curated record